RNAcentral lists this non-coding RNA (22 nucleotides) under Mus musculus (house mouse). The record is from RNAcentral. Lineage: Eukaryota; Metazoa; Chordata; Mammalia; Rodentia; Muridae.
UAAAGAGACUGAGGUGAGAUGG